Molecule: ribosomal RNA, 253 nt
Filed under: uncultured bacterium
Lineage: Bacteria
Description: partial 16S ribosomal RNA
Rfam family: Bacterial small subunit ribosomal RNA
Source: RNAcentral
UACAGAGGUCCCAAGCGUUGUUCGGAUUCAUUGGGCGUAAAGGGUGCGUAGGCGGCUUUCUAAGUCGGAUGUGAAAACUCUGGGCUCAACCCAGAGCCUGCAUCCGAAACUGGAGAGCUAGGGUUCUGGAGGGGAAAGCGGAAUUCCUGGUGUAGCGGUGAAAUGCGUAGAUAUCAGGAGGAACACCGGUGGCGAAGGCGGCUUUCUGGACAGAUACCGACGCUGAGGCACGAAAGCUAGGGGAGCAAACAGG